AACCUAUAGUUGCUUGCAACUACUGGUUUUAGGGAUAGUGGCAAACGGGUGAGUAACACGUGGAUAACCUGCCUUGAAAUCAUGAAUAGCUUAUCGAAAGAUGGGAUAAUACAUGAUAGUCUUACUUUUUCUUAAGAUUUUGUAAGUAAAGCUACGGCGUUUCAAGAGGGGUCCGCGUCCUAUCAGCUUGUUGGUGAGGUAAUGGCUCACCAAGGCUAAGACGGGUAGCUGGCGUGAGAGCGCGGUCAGCCACCAUGGAACUGAGACACGGUCCAUACUCCUACGGGAGGCAGCAAUUAGGAAUCUUGCGCAAUGGGGGCAACCCUGACGCACGCGACACAGCGUGGAGGAAGAAGGUCUUCGGAUUGUAAACUCCUUUUAUAUGGGACGAAUAGAUGACGGUACCAUAUGAAUAAGCACCUGCUAACUACGUGCCAGAAGCAUCGGUAAUGCGUAGGGUGCAAACGUUAUCCGGAUUUAUUGGGCGUAUAGAGAUGCGUAGGCGUUUUUGUAAGUCCUUAGUUAAAGACCACGGCUCAACCGUGGGAAAGCUUCGGAUACUGCAAAAAUUGAGAC
This 576-nucleotide ribosomal RNA is filed under the name uncultured bacterium. Its description in RNAcentral is "bacterial SSU rRNA". It matches the Rfam family "Bacterial small subunit ribosomal RNA", at positions 65 to 648 of the family's 1533-position model. The record is from RNAcentral.